RNA transcript from Mauremys mutica (yellowpond turtle), 2268 nucleotides. It is a transcript of the gene named syntaxin 18, with no coding region annotated. NCBI's taxonomy places the organism in Eukaryota, Metazoa, Chordata, Testudines, Geoemydidae. The record is from RefSeq and is a predicted model, not a curated record. The transcript is spliced from 11 exons.
CUGUGCGGAGGGACUCGGGGCCGGCCGGCGUGUCUGGCUGGCGGCCGGUGGGAGCGGGCCGGGGCGCCAUGGCCGUGGACAUCACGCCGCUGUUCAAAGCCAGCGUGAAGACGGUGAAGACCCGGAACAAGGCGCUGGGGGUCCCGGCCGGCGAGAGCCCCAGGGAUGAGCUGCUCAAGCGGGGCAGCCAGCGGCCCAAGAGCGACUUCUCCUGCCGGGCCCGCGAGGUGAUUACUAAUAUUGGGAAACUGAAGGAUUUUCUUCUGCAACAUAGAAAGGAUUACAUUAAUGCUUACAGCCAUCUUAUGUCAGAAUACAUUAGGAUGACAGACACAGAACGUGAUCAGAUUGAUCAAGAUGCUCAAAUAUUUAUGAGGACAUGUGCUGAUGCUAUUCAACAGCUGAGAACGGAAGCACACAAGAACGUCCAAUCCCCACAAGUGAGGGAGCACAGAGCAGCUGUCUUGGACUUCACUGAAGAUUAUUUAAAAAGAGUGUGUAAGCUGUACUCUGAACAAAGAGCUGUCCGAGUCAAACGAAUGGUAGAUAAGAAAAGAUUGUCCAGGCUUGAACCUGAACAGAGCAAUAAAGCUCAAGCACCCUUUUUCCCGGAAAAAAAUGUACAGAAUUCUUCAGAAGAAUCUGAAGAAAAACUUGCUUAUGAGGAAAAUAAAGAUCAGAAUCUGACAGAUGCCCACACUAACUUGGGGCUAUGGGGGGAUGGCAAAGGUGAAGAUGAACUGUCACCUGAAGAAAUUCAGAUGUUUGAACAGGAAAACAAGCGACUUGUUGGUGAGAUGAAUAGCCUAUUUGAUGAAGUGAGACAAAUUGAAGGGAAAGUGGUUGAAAUCUCCAGACUUCAAGAGAUAUUCACAGAAAAAGUCUUGCAACAGAAUUUGUCAUUGUCUUUAUGGAACUCUUGCUCAACAGGACACCGAAAUUGACAAUAUUCAUCAGUUAGUUGUGGGUGCAACAGAAAAUAUCAAAGGCGGCAAUGAAGACAUAAGAGAGGCAAUCCAAAAAAAUGCUGGAUUUCGAGUAUGGAUCCUUUUCUUCCUUGUAAUGUGUUCAUUCUCCUUGCUUUUCCUGGACUGGUAUGACAGUUAGGCUUUGUUUUAUUAUGUGUUGUUUGUACAAGAUUUAGACAUUCCUCCUCUCAAAGCAGGAUACGCUAUUUGCAAAUGUCAUACUGUUGUGACUGGAAAAUAUUUUCUAGCAAAAAAAGUGUGUGUACACCACUCUUGCAGUGAAAAGAUCAACACCAUUUAAGUCCUCUCAGCAGCUUCAUAAAACAAAAGAUAGUCUUCCAUGGCUAAAAACUUUGAAUCAGCUAGCAAGUAAAAAGCAGGCUCAAGUUUAGUAAGUUGCAAGAAAUUUUCAAUAAAAUGUAAAUUAUACAUUUAGGAAAUUGUAGCCCACCAAGCCAAUUAGUGGAAAGUUCACAAUGUAGACAGGAUGUACAAUGAAGAAAACUUGCAAUGCAGACAGGGUUGAGCUUUUCUCUCUCUUGUCUCAGAUUUCUUUAGUCACAUCACUCACUACAAAUUGUAAUAACCUUGUACAUCUGUGAAAGCCAUGCCUAAUCCCAUGGAAUUAGUUUGUGCAGGGGUCAUUUGUAUUUGUUGGAAAGUAAUUCUCUUAAACACUGUUAUAAAGCUUUACUUACAUGACACUUCUUAGAACCUAGCAUAUGUUAAAUUAUAGUAAACACAUUGUGAUGCAACUGAUGUAUUGAUGUUGGAACAAAGCUGAAGAAUAGAUAACACAGAAGCCAAACUUUUUGAAGUAUUAAAGUUGUUAACUACCUAAUCCAAAAAAUAAACCCUAGGAGCUUAUGACCCACCUCCUGUUGAAGUCAGGGGGAAAACUCCCAUUGACUUCAAGGGCUGCAGGAUCAAUCACCAAAUGAGUUUUAUGUUUCCAGCUGCCUGAAAUUUUUGAAUGUUUUCUUUUGAGGAUAGUAACUAGUCUCACUGUUCAGCAGAUGGCUGUACAGUGAAGUUGUUUACUGGUCUAAGUUUAAGGGAAAAUAUAUUUAAAUCACAUCUCUGGAGGAUAAUAAUCAAAUCUUAUAAAAUUUGAAUUCAUGUUUUUGGUAAUUUUGAUUUAAAAGUUCAUUUUUACUGUGUCUUGGGAAAUGUAUGUCAACAUACUGUAUGCAACAGGCAAUAUCAUCCUUAUUCUUUAUUUUGCAUGAAGUGAAAAUGUCAAAAGUUACAUGUGAAUUAAUUUACAUUCAAUAAAGUACAUGUCUACUAGCAGACAAAA